CUCUUCCGAUGCUGGGGUGGCUCAGGUCCCGGCCGGAGGCGAUGCCCUUCGCCCUGGGUCACCUCCCCGGCACCUGCGGCCCCCGGGGAGCAGGACCCGCUGCCCUGCAGCUUCCCUUCCAGCGUGCCUUCAGCAUCACCGGCUGCCGGCAUCCCGGGAAGCAUGAUUACCAUCAAAAGGAAAAAACCCCUCUGACACCAGCUAUGCUGAGCAGCUGCAGUAUGGAGCUUGGGAAAAACAUUUUGUGAGGAAGAUCACUGAUCUGGAAGCAAACUCCAGAUGUGCAGACGUGCAUGGAUACAUUCUCUUCAUAAAGAGUCUUCAAGAUGGUUCCUCUGCCCUGGCAGCCAUUUGGUUUCUUCUUUCAUCAGCCACAUCCUUGAAAAAUCUUCAUUUGAAAGAAAAGAAGCUACAACUUUGAAUGCAUGUUGCAAGGAUGUCAUAGGUUUCUCCCAAGCACUUGUGAGGAUGGUUCUGGAUAAAUCAUCCCAGUUUCCUGUAUUUAUUCUCCCCAAGGGUGCAGUGAAUCAGCAUUCCUGGGUGCAUGAAAACUGUCACCAAAUGGCAAAAGAAAACAGCAACAGCAGCAGUGCCUGAACUGCAAAGGCAACCACCAGUUGUUAGUUCUUCAGGACUUGGUUGAGUGUCUAAGAUAUAAAUGCUGGCAAUUAUUUUUUGAUUUGGUUUUAUGUUUGCUAGUUUUGGUUCUUUUGGAAUGCUUCCAGUUUUUGGGAGACCCAUGCAGUUUAGCAGAGUUGGGUAAGUAUAACAGGUGAUGCUCCUCUGGGCAUUUUUGAAGCUCGUUGGCU
RNAcentral lists this long non-coding RNA (809 nucleotides) under Parus major (Great Tit). Its description in RNAcentral is "lncRNA (ENSPMJG00000008707.1)". The record is from RNAcentral. Lineage: Eukaryota; Metazoa; Chordata; Aves; Passeriformes; Paridae.